GGAAUACAUACAUUGCCCAAGAACUCAGAGCUGGUGUUUAUGAAGAGAUUGGUCUCACAUGCAGUGCUGGAGUGGCACCAAAUCGCUUACUUGCUAAGGUUCUGGGUACUAUCUCCCAAACAUUUUCCCCAUAGCUACGUUAUCAGCCCAUUUGUUGAAGGAGAAGCUUUAAAGCACCUUAUCAUUUUACAUUUAAGAUACUAACUCCUUUAGUAGAGAUGAAAUGAUUGUUUCAUCUUGCUGGGAAAUUUCAUGCUAUGGCUUUAUAAUAUUGACAUUUUACUCUCAUAUGGGUUUGUUCGGACAUAAACAAGCCAAAUAGACAGUAUGUUUUGCCAAAUGACCGCAUGGUUGUUAUGACCUUUGUAUCCUCCCUUCCUAUCAGAAAGAUUGGGGGCAUUGGUAAGGUCACUUCGGGUGAAUAUUUUGAAGGGAGUUUUUGGAAUUAACACAUGUGAGCAGAUGCUGGACAAGAGUAGCUACAUUUGUGCAUUUUUCUCUCGGUCAACAGCAGGCUUCACCUGUUCCGAUUCGGGGGCGUCAAGCUGUAGUUGAGAUAAAGAGAACUACUACCCGAGAUAAGACUUUCGGUAUAUUUACCCAUGAGUCAUCAGCAUAUGAACCACUAUGGUGUAUUUGAAGAGGAGCUUGCUGAAAUGCUAUCAGCUGACAUGCAAAAAGAGGGUCUGUGAGGGCAAACAUUGACUCUUAAACUAAAAACUGCUUCUUUUGAGGUUCGAAGUAGAGCUGUGACAUUACAGAAGACAUCAGCUCAAGAUUGGAGCACUCUGAUUUUCAUCUUGCCGAAAAGCUUCAAAAGGAAGAAUCUAGUAUUCACCAAAAAUCUGUUCCGAGUCAAAGGUUAUUAUUGAAAUACCUUUGUUCCUGAUUUUCUCAUUGGUUGUGGCUUAUAGAAGGUAGUACUCUGAUCUUUGUUGGUGUCAGUUUGAUUAAAUGAUGACAAACAUGGAAACAGGCCAUUGAUGCUACUGAUGCAUUUUUUAAAAAGCUUUAAAGCCUAGUCUGCUUCUGGACCUUUAAUGAGUUUGGUCUGUCAUCGAUAGAUUGAAGACAGUACUGUACUUGUUACCUUCCAAAAUUGAAACAAGAAAAUGGAUACGCCUAUUGAUCCAUCUGUUAAUAGUAUUGCUUCAUUAGAAACACAACAAGUUGCUAAUGACGCACAAAGCAAUCCGGUGGAAGAAGCAGAAAUUUUCCAAUUAUAGAAGUUGAAGAUGUUGAAAGAAGUCCAAAUAAAAGAGGAUUAACUUCUGCUGCUUGGACCCAUUUCAAAAGAAAGAAAAUAGAGGGAAAAUGGAAAGCUAUAUGUAAAUAUUGUGAAAAGAAACUUGAUGGUGAUACAAGAUCAGGUAUGAAGCAUUUGCACAACCACAUUAGAACCUAUAAGCUUCGAACAGUGAGGGGUCCAAAGCAAUCAAUACUAAAAACUCUUCAACAAUCAUCAUCUUCAGUAGGAGAUAGAGGCGAAUCUAGUUUAGUUGAAAACUAUACCUUUAAUCAAGAUGCUGCUAGGAUGGAAUUCACAAAGAUGAUUGCAUUGCAUGAAUACCCUCUUGCUAUGGUUGAUCACAUUGGGUUUCGAAGGUUUUGUAAUGCUGUUCAACCUUUGUACAAAGUAAUAUCCCGUAAUACAUUGAAGCUGGAUAUACUAAAGUUCUAUGAGAGUGAAAGAGUCAAAACUAUGAAGUUAAUUCAAACAAAUUCAAGUUGCAUAGCUAUAACAACGGACAUGUGGACUGCAUCGAAUUAAAACAAAGGCUAUAUGACUAUUACAGCCCAUUUCAUUGAUAACAAUUGGAAUUUGCAAAGUCAGCUUAUGAGAUUCCUUAAAAUCAAAGAUGGAAUUUUGCUUAAUAGUUGACGAUGCAGACACAACAACGCCAACGGUUUGAUGUUGAAGAUGUUUCAUUACACUUGGAUGAAAGUAUGAAGACUUGAUUCAAUAUGAUGAUGUUAAUUUAUUGUUUGAAGACUUGUAAUGUUAUGCUAGUUUUAUUGUUUUUAUUGUGUAAUAUUGUAACAUUAAUGAGUACUUGGA
Molecule: long non-coding RNA, 2059 nt
Organism: Glycine soja
Lineage: Eukaryota; Viridiplantae; Streptophyta; Magnoliopsida; Fabales; Fabaceae
Exons: 9
Source: RefSeq, a predicted model, not a curated record